UACAGAGGUCUCAAGCGUUGUUCGGAUUCAUUGGGCGUAAAGGGUGUGUAGGUGGCGCCGUAAGUCGGGUGUGAAAUUUCGGAGCUUAACUCCGAAACUGCAUUCGAUACUGCGGUGCUUGAGGACUGGAGAGGAGACUGGAAUUCAUGGUGUAGCAGUGAAAUGCGUAGAGAUCAUGAGGAAGACCAGUGGCGAAGGCGGGUCUCUGGACAGUUCCUGACAUUGAGACACGAAGGCCAGGGGAGCAAACGGG
Molecule: ribosomal RNA, 253 nt
Filed under: uncultured bacterium
Lineage: Bacteria
Description: partial 16S ribosomal RNA
Rfam family: Bacterial small subunit ribosomal RNA
Source: RNAcentral